GAUGAACGCUAGCUACAGGCUUAACACAUGCAAGUCGAGGGGCAGCGCAGUGUAGCAAUACAUGGGCGGCGACCGGCGCACGGGUGCGUAACGCGUAUCCAACCUUCCCGUUACUCAGGGAUAGCCUUCCGAAAGGGAGAUUAAUACCUGAUGGUGUUUGAAUUCCGCAUGUUAUUCAAACUAAAGAUUUAUCGGUAACGGAUAGGGAUGCGUGACAUUAGGUAGAUGGCGGGGUAACGGCCCACCAUGCCUACGAUGUCUAGGGGUUCUGAGAGGAAGGUCCCCCACACUGGAACUGAGACACGGUCCAGACUCCUACGGGAGGCAGCAGUGAGGAAUAUUGGUCAAUGGGGCGCAAGCCUGAACCAGCCAAGUAGCGUGAAGGAUGACUGCCCUAUGGGUUGUAAACUUCUUUUUUACGGGAACAAAUGUUGCUACGUGUAGCAAUUUGCGUGUACCGUACGAAUAAGCAUCGGCUAACUCCGUG
RNAcentral lists this ribosomal RNA (487 nucleotides) under uncultured bacterium. RNAcentral describes it as "bacterial SSU rRNA". It matches the Rfam family "Bacterial small subunit ribosomal RNA", at positions 28 to 507 of the family's 1533-position model. The record is from RNAcentral.